RNAcentral lists this long non-coding RNA (382 nucleotides) under Vigna radiata. RNAcentral describes it as "long non-coding RNA (VRAD_LNC011745)". Lineage: Eukaryota; Viridiplantae; Streptophyta; Magnoliopsida; Fabales; Fabaceae. The record is from RNAcentral.
AUAUCGUUCUUCCCAUGAGACUCGAAAGGUUUUCUCGUUUGUGUGAAUUAAAAUCGUAAGACUUGUAAAAAGAAAUAAUUGUGGUGAAUGCAAAGACAGAAAAUAAACAUGUAAUGUGUUUGAUUCAAUUGAUGAAAAGAGAUUAUGGAUGAGUGGAGUUGUUGGGGGUUUACAAUUUCAUCUUAUCUUCUCCCUCUUAUCUACUCCUCUUGUUUACUGCGCUUAGUUAUCUAAUUGUUAUGCAAACUUUCUUGGCCUACCCUUAACCCGAUCCCUCAGCGAAAAGAGCCUAUUACUAAUUACUGACUUGCUAUCCCUAGCCUCCCCUAGUAAUUAAUAAUGCAUUAAGAACAAAAGCAAAAACAAUUGAUCGUCCUACCCC